RNAcentral lists this transfer RNA (75 nucleotides) under Candidatus Omnitrophota bacterium. Its description in RNAcentral is "tRNA-His". It matches the Rfam family "tRNA". From Rfam's summary of the family: Transfer RNA (tRNA) molecules are approximately 80 nucleotides in length. Their secondary structure includes four short double-helical elements and three loops (D, anti-codon, and T loops). Lineage: Bacteria; Pseudomonadati; Candidatus Omnitrophota. The record is from RNAcentral.
GAGUUGGUCGUCCAAAGGAUAGGACACCUGGUUGUGGGCCAGAGAAUGGGGGUUCGAGUCCCCUCCAACUCCCCA